GACGAACGCUGGCGGCGUGCCUAAUACAUGCAAGUCGAACGAGAGCGACCGGUGCUUGCACUGGUCAAUCUAGUGGCGAACGGGUGAGUAACACGUGGGUAACCUGCCCAUCAGAGGGGGAUAACAUCCGGAAACGGAUGCUAAAACCGCAUAGGUCUUCGAGCCGCAUGGCUUGAAGAGGAAAAGAGGCGCAAGCUUCUGCUGAUGGAUGGACCCGCGGUGCAUUAGCUAGUUGGUGAGGUAACGGCUCACCAAGGCCGUGAUGCAUAGCCGACCUGAGAGGGUGAUCGGCCACAUUGAGACUGAGACACGGCCCAAACUCCUACGGGAGGCAGCAGUAGGGAAUCUUCCGCAAUGGACGCAAGUCUGACGGAGCAACGCCGCGUGAGUGAAGAAGGUUUUCGGAUCGUAAAACUCUGUUGUUAGAGAAGAACAAGUGCUAGAGUAACUGUUAGCGCCUUGACGGUAUCUAACCAGAAAGCCACGGCUAACUACGUG
This 498-nucleotide ribosomal RNA is filed under the name uncultured bacterium. RNAcentral describes it as "partial 16S ribosomal RNA". It matches the Rfam family "Bacterial small subunit ribosomal RNA", at positions 28 to 507 of the family's 1533-position model. The record is from RNAcentral.